AUUGAACGCUGGCGGCAUGCCUUACACAUGCAAGUCGAACGGUAACAGGUCUUCGGAUGCUGACGAGUGGCGAACGGGUGAGUAAUACAUCGGAACGUGCCUAGUAGUGGGGGAUAACUACUCGAAAGAGUGGCUAAUACCGCAUGAGAUCUACGGAUGAAAGCAGGGGAUCGCAAGACCUUGUGCUACUAGAGCGGCCGAUGGCAGAUUAGGUAGUUGGUGGGAUAAAAGCUUACCAAGCCGACGAUCUGUAGCUGGUCUGAGAGGACGAUCAGCCACACUGGGACUGAGACACGGCCCAGACUCCUACGGGAGGCAGCAGUGGGGAAUUUUGGACAAUGGGGGCAACCCUGAUCCAGCCAUGCCGCGUGCGGGAAGAAGGCCUUCGGGUUGUAAACCGCUUUUGUCGGGGAAGAAAUCCCCUGGGCUAAUACCUCGGGGGGAUGACGGUACCCGAAGAAUAAGCACCGGCUAACUACGUGCCAGCAGCCGCGGUAA
RNAcentral lists this ribosomal RNA (498 nucleotides) under uncultured bacterium. RNAcentral describes it as "partial 16S ribosomal RNA". It matches the Rfam family "Bacterial small subunit ribosomal RNA", at positions 30 to 523 of the family's 1533-position model. The record is from RNAcentral.